GAUGAACGCUGGCGGCGUGCCUAAUACAUGCAAGUCGAGCGAACAGACGAGGAGCUUGCUCCUCUGACGUUAGCGGCGGACGGGUGAGUAACACGUGGAUAACCUACCUAUAAGACUGGGAUAACUUCGGGAAACCGGAGCUAAUACCGGAUAAUAUAUUGAACCGCAUGGUUCAAUAGUGAAAGACGGUUUUGCUGUCACUUAUAGAUUGAUCCGCGCCGCAUUAGCUAGUUGGUAAGGUAACGGCUUACCAAGGCAACGAUGCGUAGCCGACCUGAGAGGGUGAUCGGCCACACUGGAACUGAGACACGGUCCCGACUCCUACGGGAGGCAGCAGUAGGGAAUCUUCCGCAAUGGGCGAAAGCUUGACGGAGCAACGCCGCGUGAGUGAUGAAGGUCUUCGGAUCGUAAAACUCUGUUAUUAGGGAAGAACAAAUGUGUAAGUAACUAUGCACGUCUUGACGGUACCUAAUCAGAAAGCCACGGCUAACUACGUG
Molecule: ribosomal RNA, 497 nt
Filed under: uncultured bacterium
Lineage: Bacteria
Description: partial 16S ribosomal RNA
Rfam family: Bacterial small subunit ribosomal RNA
Source: RNAcentral